This 4346-nucleotide unclassified non-coding RNA is filed under the name Gigantopelta aegis. RNAcentral describes it as "extended synaptotagmin-2-like, transcript variant X2". Lineage: Eukaryota; Metazoa; Mollusca; Gastropoda; Neomphalida; Peltospiridae. The record is from RNAcentral.
UCCAGCUAAGGUAUGCAGAGGUAGUAAAGUGCAUUCCUGUACGAUGUCGUCUGCCGCUAAAGACAAGGAAAAGGGCGAUUCGCCUGGAAGAAAGUCUGCGGAUGAGGAUACAAUGUUAGUGAAAGUUGUCACGGAGUAUUUUAAACUCGCCGGGGCAACUUUAUUCGUCUGGUUUUUCGGAUAUUUUCAGUUCAGCCCCAGUUGGUUGCUUCUCGGCUUGGUUGUCUACUCUUGGAAAGCAAAGCACAAUAAAGAUAAGAAAUGGAAAAUAAAAAUUGCACAAGAAAUUGCACGUGAUGAAAGAGAGGCGAUUCUGGCACGAGUCGAGGAGCUGCCGUCGUGGGUUUACUUUCCGGAUGUGGAACGAGCGGAAUGGGUGAACAAGAUUAUAGACCAGCUAUGGCCGUACAUUGGUGAUUACGUCAAAAAGUUGCUGAUAGAAUCGAUCGAGCCCCAGAUUCGAGCGAGCUUGCCAGACUCCCUCAAAUCUUUCAAGUUCAGCAAGAUCGACCUCGGAGAUAUUCCUCCACGAGUUGGCGGAGUCAAAGUGUACACUAAUCUAGUCCGACGAGAUGAAGUGUACAUGGAUUUGGAAAUCACGUACAGCAGCGAUGCCGAUGUAGCUGUCAAAGUGAAGGGGAUUAACGCUGGUAUCAAGGAUUUGCAUAUCCACGGCACUCUGAGAGUGAUCUUCAAACCUUUGAUCAGCAAGAUGCCGCUAAUCGGGGGAAUCUCUGUCUUCUUCCUCAACAGUCCGAACAUUGACUUCAAUUUGACAAGCUUGGCAAAUGCAUUUGAUGUUCCAGGUCUGAAUGACAUGCUUCACAAAAUAGUGUCGAAUCAAGUUGCUAGCAUGAUGGUCCUUCCGAAUCGGAUUUCCAUCCAGAUGGCAGAUGGUGUCAAUCUGAACAAGCUGAGAUAUCCACAGCCUCAGGGUGUGCUACGUAUCUCCCUGGUAGAGGCGAAAGACCUCAUCAAAGCGGACAUCAGCAUUACUGGGAAGGGCAAGUCCGACCCAUAUGCCACGGCAUCAGUGGGUGCACUUACGUUUCAAACCAAGGUGAUUGACAACACGGUCAACCCACUGUGGAAUCAGACAUUUGAGGCUAUCAUUGAUGCUGCUGAUGGUCAGAUGUUGGACUUGUUUGUCCUGGACAAGGACCCUGGUAACAAGGAUGAUAAGCUGGGAGAUGUACAGAUAGAGAUCAGUCAAGUGAAAGAGAAAGGUCUUCUUGAUGAUUGGCUGCAACUGGAGAAUAUCAAGAAAGGUUUCAUUCACACCCGACUUCAGUGGCUGUAUUUAGCCAACGACCCUCUCGAGCUUGAUCGGAUUAUGCAACAGAUUCAAGAAGAAAACAAAGAUGAUGAAAGUAUUUCUUCUUGCAUUCUGCUCGUCAAUCUUGAUUCUGCACGUGACCUGCCGAGAGGCAAGAAAACGCUAUCCGAGCCGAGUCCGAUGGUUAAGCUGUGUGUUGGCCGUGACAAGCAGGAGAGUACAGCCAAGGCCAACACCAACGAACCACGAUGGGAAGAGAACUUCCGAUUCCUCGUGCAUAACCCAAACUACCAGAACAUGGAAAUUGAGGUCUGGGAUUCCAAGAGCAAUAAAUUGCUUGGAUCUGCCACAAUAAAGCUGAAGGACUUGCUCGUUGCCACGGAUAUGGUGCUGGAUCAGCAGUUUCAAAUAAGAAAUGUUGUGACAACUGGCCAAGUACAUAUGAGACUGGCUCUCAGGGUGCUGACCCCGGAAUUGAACCCGGAAUGGAUGGAUAAAGAAGAAUUCAUUGACCCUCCUCCGGAGAAUCAGGGCUCGCCUGUGGACAAACCACCCGAGGGGACGUCCGUCGACCAGAACAACAGUCAGAAAUCAAACAACCAGGAGUCGGACAAACCAGCUGCCACUUCAACAUCGCCGGCAUCCACCAUGUCGUCAUCAACAGCAGCAACUACGCAGGGUGGUGAGGACAUGCUCAUUCCAUCGGCUAACAAGGAGGUGUCGAGCGAGGUGCGACAGCGAAAACCACAGACUUCCAAUGUUGAAUACGCAGGCCAGUAUGAUCGAGGCCGAAUCCAGAUGACGUUCCGCUAUAGCGUACAGAGACAGCGACUCAUAAUAGUCAUUCAUCAGUGUGUAAACCUGCUCCCACUGGACAGCAACAAUCUGUCUGAUCCGUACGUCCGUAUGUACCUGCUUCCGGACAAAUCAUCAGGGAGCAAGAGAAAGACACAGGUUGUCAAGGACAAUCUGAACCCUGUGUUCGAUGAAACGUUUGAGUAUUCUGUGAACCCCACAGAAUUGUCGAGUCGGACCCUUGAGAUUAUGGUGAAGAAUCAGACGGGAGUCUUCUCCUCCAGCGAAAAAGUGAUGGGCGUGGUCAGCCUCGACUUGGCCACACUCGACACCACAAAGGCCAUCACCGAAUGGUUUGAUCUGCAGCCAGAAGUUGGAGCGCAGAAAGUGUCCAUGGUGGAAUCAGACGUGUAGAAAACGCAACUCGCACCCUCGCAGAAUACUCCAUAUUACGGCAUAGUUAUCUUCAUGCUAAACUUAUAACGCUGUUUUUAGAAUAUUUUAAGCAAUGAAUACAAAUUUUAUUAUCGAAAUAUUUUUUUUAUUAGAUUCAUAGCUACAUGUAUAGUGCUUGUUAUUGAAUAGAAUUGUGUUAUUGCAGCUAAUAUAUAUAUUGUGUAUGUCAUAUAUAAUGGUUUUACAUUUCAUUUAUUCAUGGUCAUAUAUUUUUGUUAACGAGCACAUUUUGAUUUAAUUUUAUUUUGUUCUAUGUUGUGAGAUUAAGAAAAUAAUGUUUUGCUUCUUCAAAAGUCGCAUUAAUGGAUUGACAUUGAUACCUGUUUAUUCAAGACUCGAAACAUAUGGCAGUGCAACCAUUUAACAGGUUACAAAACACACAGCAGAUAGUGUAACUAUUCAACGGGUUACAAAAUAAACGAUCAACGGGUUACCAAAUACAUGACAGGCAGUGUAACCAUUCAACAUUUUAGCAAAUAAACCACAGAUUCUGUAACUGUUUUAACAAGUUACCAAAAUGACAGUGUAACCAUUUAGCGGGUUACAGAAUAAACAGCAGUGUUACAACCAUUCAACAGAUUAUGAAAUGAAACAGCAGACAAUGUAACCAUUAAUCAGGUUACAGAAUAAACAGCAGUGUUACUACCAUUCAACAGAUUAUGAAAUGAAACAGCAGACAAUGUAACCAUUUAUCAGGUUACAGAAUAAACAGCUGACAAUGUAACCGUUCAACAGAUUAUGAAAUAAACAGCAGACAAUGUUACCAUUGAUCAGGUUACAGAAUAAACAGCUGGCAAUGUAACCGUUCAACAGAUUAUGAAAUAAACAGCACAGACAGUGUAACCAUUCAACAGAUUAUGAAAUAAACAGCAGACAAUGUUACUGUUUAUCAGGUUACUGAAUAAACAGCUGACAAUGUAACCAUUUAUCAGGUUAUAGAAUAAACAGCAGACAAUGUAACCAUUUAUCAGGUUAUAGAAUAAACAGCAGACAAUGUAACCAUUUAUCAGGUUAUAGAAUAAAUAGUUUAUGAAACAAAGAGCAGUGUAAUCACUCAUGAGGUUACAAACUGAACAGUAGACAAUGUAACCAGGUAUCAAGUUGCAGUGAUGUUCUGUAAGAACCGUGCGCUGCAGAUAUUCAAAAUACCUCAGACACUUUUCAAACUGUGUGAAGCUUGAAUCAAAAUCAGUUUGGCUACAGACAAAGAUGAAUUCAACAACAAACAGAAAUUGUGGUUACUGAAAAAAACAUUAUAAGAAGAUAUGGUUACAAAAAACCCAAAAAAAUUACAACAUAUUUUUAAACUUUUCUUUCAUCAUAUUCUGUGCUGCAUCAAGAUGCAAUUAUUUUGUUUUGUGGGGUUUUUUUGUUCUUUAUACUGUUUUAUGUUUAUCAGUACCGGGUAGUCGGUUUAAUACGUUAUUUUUUAUUAUUUAAUAUAAUAUGUAAUGGACAAAAUUGUGCAUAAGAUUUUUGUUUUAUAUUGUAUAGUGUUGGUGUGAGAUUACUGAAGUUAGUUUUAACGCUAUCAUAGACCAGUUGUUAUAAUUGUUGUGAUAGAAUUAUUUGUCCUGAAUUGAAAAGGGGGGUGGGGGGGUUGUGGGGGGUAUUUUCUAUGUCCUUAAAGAGACUGUUGAGUUUGUUGCCAAUGUAAUAUGUUUCUGGCAAAAAGAGCCUUAUUAACAGCUACUAGGAUCAAUCCCCGUCAGUGGACCCAUUGGGCUAUUUUUUGUUGCAGCCAGUGCACCACGACUGGUAUAUCAAAGGCUAGUGGUCAUAGGGUUUUACGUGCACAUUCAGAACAAGCUGUUGUAGC